CUACAACAAGGCUAAAUGGGUUGCAGCCCGCACGAUCUGAAGGAAAAUCAAUGAGGUAUCAAUGAGGUAUGAGAGAAAGUUUAAAAAUAAUGAAUAAAUUGGUACAAAAAUUUAAUAGGUCACCUCUUUUUUUAUUGAGUGAACAUGUCACCUCUCUGAGGAAAACACGUGGAACUACCACAUGUCGCAUCCUAGCAGACAUGUACAAACUACAGAUGCAUCCUAGCAGUUUGUUAUCACAUCUUAGCCUAAGAUUAAUCAGCACUCCCUUUACUCGCAGACCAUCAUUAUGCCUUGCACGCAUCAACAAACACACGAUGGACCAUCCUCCUCGAAUCACCACUGCCUAAUUAACCCGAUCCUUGAUUGAAAGUUAAUGAAGCGACUAAUCAAUCCACGAGCUAGCACCAAUCAAAUUAACCAUCUAUAGCUACC
Molecule: long non-coding RNA, 435 nt
Filed under: Hordeum vulgare
Lineage: Eukaryota; Viridiplantae; Streptophyta; Magnoliopsida; Poales; Poaceae
Description: long non-coding RNA (HVUL_LNC004121)
Source: RNAcentral